AGCGAACGCUGGCGGUAGGCCUAACACAUGCAAGUCGAACGGCAGCACAGUAAGUGCUUGCUCUUACGGGUGGCGAGUGGCGGACGGGUGAGGUAUAUAUCGGAAUCUACUUUUUCGUGGGGGUUAACGUAGGGAAACUUACGCUAAUACCGCAUACGACCUUCGGGUGAAAGCAGGGGAUCUUUGGACCUUGCGCGAUUGAACGAGCCGAUGUCGGAUUAGCUAGUUGGCGGGGUAAAUGCCCACCAAGGCGGCGAUACGUAGCUGGUCUGGGAGGAUGGUCACCCACACUGGAGCUGAGACACGGCCCAUACGCCUGCGGGAGGCAGCAGUCUGCAAUAGUAGACAAUGGGGGCGAGCAUGAUCCAGCCAUACCGCGUGGGAUGAAAAGGCCCUCGGUUUGGGAAGCCCUUUUGUUGGGAGUGAAAAGCAGCAGGUUAAUACCCCGCGUUACUGACGGUACCGGGAGAAUAAGCACCGGCUAACUUCGUG
Molecule: ribosomal RNA, 492 nt
Filed under: uncultured bacterium
Lineage: Bacteria
Description: partial 16S ribosomal RNA
Rfam family: Bacterial small subunit ribosomal RNA
Source: RNAcentral